GAUGAACGCUGGCGGCGUGCCUAAUACAUGCAAGUCGAACGAACGGACGAGAAGCUUGCUUCUCUGAUGUUAGCGGCGGACGGGUGAGUAACACGUGGAUAACCUACCUAUAAGACUGGGAUAACUUCGGGAAACCGGAGCUAAUACCGGAUAAUAUUUUGAACCGCAUGGUUCAAAAGUGAAACACGGUCUUGCUGUCACUUAUAGAUGAAUCCGCGCUGGAUUAGCUAGUUGGUAAGGUAACGGCUUACCAAGGCAACGAUGCAUAGCCGACCUGAGAGGGUGAUCGGCCACACUGGAACUGAGACACGGUCCAGACUCCUACGGGAGGCAGCAGUAGGGAAUCUUCCACAAUGGGCGAAAGCCUGACGGAGCAACGCCGCGUGAGUGAUGAAGGUCUUCGGAUCGUAAAACUCUGUUAUUAGGGAAGAACAUAUGUGGAAGUAACUGUGCACAUCUUGACGGUACCUAAUCAGAAAGCCCCGGCUAACUACGUG
RNAcentral lists this ribosomal RNA (497 nucleotides) under uncultured bacterium. RNAcentral's name for it is "partial 16S ribosomal RNA". It matches the Rfam family "Bacterial small subunit ribosomal RNA", at positions 28 to 507 of the family's 1533-position model. The record is from RNAcentral.